GCCAGCAGCCAUAUCACCUUGCAGCUCACGACUGGCAACCCACGCAAGCUAAGCAGGUGUGAGCCUAGUCAGUACCUGGUUGGGAGCAGUCCUGGGAAAAACUACGGUUGCUGCUAGAA
RNAcentral lists this ribosomal RNA (119 nucleotides) under Lepisosteus oculatus (spotted gar). Lineage: Eukaryota; Metazoa; Chordata; Actinopteri; Semionotiformes; Lepisosteidae. The record is from RNAcentral.